RNAcentral lists this ribosomal RNA (263 nucleotides) under uncultured bacterium. RNAcentral describes it as "partial 16S ribosomal RNA". It matches the Rfam family "Bacterial small subunit ribosomal RNA", at positions 793 to 1055 of the family's 1533-position model. The record is from RNAcentral.
GUCCACGCCGUAAACGAUGGGCGCUAGGUGUGGGCGGUGUCGACUCCGUCCGUGCCGAAGCUAACGCAUUAAGCGCCCCGCCUGGGGAGUACGGCCGCAAGGCUAAAACUCAAAGGAAUUGACGGGGGCCCGCACAAGCAGCGGAGCAUGUGGUUUAAUUCGACGCAACGCGAAGAACCUUACCAGGGCUUGACAUGCACGGGAAUUGCGUAGAAAUACGUAAGCCCUUCGGGGCUCGUGCACAGGUGGUGCAUGGCUGUCGU